UGGGGAAUUUUGCACAAUGGGGGAAACCCUGAUGCAGCGACGCCGCGUGAUUUAGAAGGCCUUCGGGUUGUAAAAAUCUUUUCUAUGGGAAGAAAAUGACAGUACCAUAGGAAUAAGGACCGGCUAAUUACGUGCCAGCAGCCGCGGUAAUACGUAAGGUCCGAGCGUUGUCCGGAAUCAUUGGGCGUAAAGGGUACGUAGGCGGGUAAGCAAGUUAGAAGUUAAAUCCUAUAGCUCAACUAUAGUAAGCUUUUAAAACUGCUCAUCUUGAGGUAUGGAAGGGAAAGUGGAAUUCCUAGUGUAGCGGUGAAAUGCGCAGAUAUUAGGAGGAAUACCGGUGGCGAAGGCGACUUUCUGGCCAUAACCUGACGCUGAGGUACGAAAGCGUGGGUAGCAAACAGG
This 402-nucleotide ribosomal RNA is filed under the name bacterium. Its description in RNAcentral is "partial 16S ribosomal RNA". It matches the Rfam family "Bacterial small subunit ribosomal RNA", at positions 355 to 776 of the family's 1533-position model. The record is from RNAcentral.